UCAGCCGAGGAGGGGAGAUGGGCUGGGUGGCUCUGGGGCUUGUUGUGUGGGAAGCACGGGCCCCAGAAUCCCAGCCCUGAUUCCCAGCAGGAGGCAUCGCCCUUCCCAGUCACUGAGGAACUUCCAGCCUCCCCAGGGCAGAAGGUGGAGGAACCCUGUCCAAGCACCAGCAGCUCGGCCCGCUCCCCAUGGGACAGCAGCAGUGCCGGGGACUGAGGCAGCAGCCAGGCCGAGGUGUCCCGCUGCUUUGUUCCAGGACGAGGCCCAGCAGCUCAUGUUUCUGCAUGCCAUCCACACCGCGUGAUUCGCUACAUGGAAGAGAGCACAGGACACAUUGGAGUCGCACUGCUGCAAGGCGGCUGUGGUGGAGAGGAUUGUGGCUCCUGAGGA
Molecule: long non-coding RNA, 390 nt
Organism: Chelonia mydas (Green sea turtle)
Lineage: Eukaryota; Metazoa; Chordata; Testudines; Cheloniidae
Exons: 3
Source: RefSeq, a predicted model, not a curated record